GUCGUGGGGCAGCGCGAGGUAGCAAUACUUUGGCGGCGACCGGCAAACGGGUGCGGAACACGUACGCAACCUUCCUCAGAGCGGGGAAUAGCCUCUCGAAAGAGAGAUUAAUACCCCAUAGUAUCCCGAAUUCGCAUGGAAUUGGGAUUAAAGCUUCGGCACUUUGAGAUGGGCGUGCGGCUGAUUAGGUAGUUGGUAGGGUAACGGCCUACCAAGCCAACGAUCAGUAGCUGAUGUGAGAGCAUGAUCAGCCACACGGGCACUGAGACACGGGCCCGACUCCUACGGGAGGCAGCAGUGAGGAAUAUUGGUCAAUGGAGGAAACUCUGAACCAGCCAUGCCGCGUGAAGGAUGAAGGUCCUCUGGAUUGUAAACUUCUUUUAUAGAAGAAGAAACCCCAGUAUUCUUACUGGGUUGACGGUACUCUAUGAAUAAGCACCGGCUAACUCUGUGCCAGCAGCCGCGGUAAUACGGAGGAUCCAAGCGUUAUCCGGAUUUAUUGGGUUUAAAGGGUGCGUAGGCGGACCCAUAAGUCAGUGGUGAAAGUUUGCAGCUUAACUGUAAAAUUGCCGUUGAAACUGUGGGUCUUGAGUGUAAAUAAAGUAGGCGGAAUGUGUUGUGUAGCGGUGAAAUGCUUAGAUAUAACACAGAACACCAAUUGCGAAGGCAGCUUACUGGGAUACAACUGACGCUGAGGCACGAAAGCGUGGGGAUCAAACAGGAUUAGAUACCCUGGUAGUCCACGCAGUAAACGAUGAAUACUAGCUGUAUGCGAUAUACUGUAUGUGGCACAGCGAAAGCGUUAAGUAUUCCACCUGGGGAGUACGUUCGCAAGAAUGAAACUCAAAGGAAUUGACGGGGGCCCGCACAAGCGGAGGAACAUGUGGUUUAAUUCGAUGAUACGCGAGGAACCUUACCCGGGGCUUGAAAUGCAUCUGACCGACUUGGAAACAGGUCUUCUAGCAAUAGCAGAUGUGUAGGUGCUGCAUG
This 990-nucleotide ribosomal RNA is filed under the name uncultured bacterium. RNAcentral's name for it is "bacterial SSU rRNA". It matches the Rfam family "Bacterial small subunit ribosomal RNA", at positions 61 to 1047 of the family's 1533-position model. The record is from RNAcentral.